UUGUAGUGCUAGGGGUGCCUUUUGGCUGAGAGAAGUAAAAAACUUUAACCCUUUGAACCUGAUACGGAUAACACCGACGGAGGGAAGCUGUUUGGAAUGAAU
Molecule: non-coding RNA, 102 nt
Filed under: Clostridium cylindrosporum
Lineage: Bacteria; Bacillati; Bacillota; Clostridia; Eubacteriales; Clostridiaceae
Also listed under: 1 other name
Description: TPP sequence
Rfam family: TPP riboswitch aptamer (THI element)
About the family: Vitamin B(1) in its active form thiamin pyrophosphate (TPP) is an essential coenzyme that is synthesised by coupling of pyrimidine and thiazole moieties in bacteria. The previously detected thiamin-regulatory element, thi box was extended, resulting in a new, highly conserved RNA secondary structure, the THI element, which is widely distributed in eubacteria and also occurs in some archaea.
Source: RNAcentral